UCGAUUGAGGAAUCAGCAUCGGCUAACUCCGUGCCAGCAGCCGCGGUAAUACGGAGGAUGCAAGCGUUAUCCGGAAUGAUUGGGCGUAAAGAGUCCGUAGGUGGUGAUUCAAGUCGAUUGUUAAAGAGCGGGACUUAACCCCGUAGAAGCAGUGGAAACUGAAUCGCUAGAGAGAGGUAGGGGUAGAGGGAAUUCCCGGUGUAGCGGUGAAAUGCGUAGAGAUCGGGAAGAACACCAGUGGCGAAGGCGCUCUACUGGGCCUCAUCUGACACUGAGGGACGAAAGCUAGGGGAGCGAAAGGGAUUAGAUACCCCUGUAGUCCUAGCUGUAAACGAUGGAUACUAGGUGUUGUCUGUAUCGACCCGGACAGUGCCGUAGCUAACGCGUUAAGUAUCCCGCCUGGGGAGUACGCACGCAAGUGUGAAACUCAAAGGAAUUGACGGAAUCACUA
This 451-nucleotide ribosomal RNA is filed under the name uncultured bacterium. Its description in RNAcentral is "bacterial SSU rRNA". It matches the Rfam family "Bacterial small subunit ribosomal RNA", at positions 475 to 924 of the family's 1533-position model. The record is from RNAcentral.